This 127-nucleotide small RNA is filed under the name Marmota monax (woodchuck). Lineage: Eukaryota; Metazoa; Chordata; Mammalia; Rodentia; Sciuridae. The record is from RNAcentral.
GCUGGGUGCGGAGGUGCACACCUGUAAUCCCAGCGGCUCAGGAGGCUGAGGCAGGAGGAUCACAAAUUCAAAGGCAGCCUCGGCAGCUUAGCAAGGCCCUAAGCAACUCAGUGAGACCCUGUCUCUA